This 492-nucleotide ribosomal RNA is filed under the name uncultured bacterium. RNAcentral's name for it is "partial 16S ribosomal RNA". It matches the Rfam family "Bacterial small subunit ribosomal RNA", at positions 29 to 507 of the family's 1533-position model. The record is from RNAcentral.
AGUGAACGCUGGCGGUAGGCCUAACACAUGCAAGUCGAACGGCAGCACAGUAAGAGCUUGCUCUUACGGGUGGCGAGUGGCGGACGGGUGAGGAAUACAUCGGAAUCUACUUUUUCGUGGGGGAUAACGUAGGGAAACUUACGCUAAUACCUCAUACGACCUACGGGUGAAAGCAGGGGAUCUUCGGACCUUGCGCGAGUGAAUGAGCCGAUGUCGUAUUAGCUAGUUGGCGGGGUAAAGGCCCACCAAGGCGACGAGCCGUAGCUGGUCUGAGAGGAUGAUCAGCCACACUGGAACUGAGACACGGUCCAGACUCCUACGGGAGGCAGCAGUGGGGAAUAUUGGACAAUGGGCGCAAGCCUGAUCCAGCAAUACCGCGUGGGUGAAGAAGGCCUUAGGGUUGUAAAGCCCUUUUGUUGGGAAAGAAAAGCAGCAGGUUAAUACCCCGCUGUUCUGACGGUACCCAAAGAAUAAGCACCGGCUAACUUCGUG